Molecule: long non-coding RNA, 695 nt
Organism: Triplophysa rosa
Lineage: Eukaryota; Metazoa; Chordata; Actinopteri; Cypriniformes; Nemacheilidae
Exons: 5
Source: RefSeq, a predicted model, not a curated record
ACCCCUCCCAUUACCCCAGAUCUUGGUGGGCAGCCGGCAUACUCUGUCCGUUGACAGCUGGAUUCACACCGAGUCUGUGGCAAGGUCUAAUAUCUAGUGGACUGGGAGGGCUACGGCCCAGAAGAGCAUUGCUGGGUCCCAGCUGGAGACAUCCUAGAUCCGAACCUUAUCUGAGAGUUCCACCGCCUGGACCCCAACCGUGGUCAAGGGAACGUCAGGAGCCGUUCCUGAGAAAAGGGCUCAUCCCCCGUGAUGGACUUGGCCACCUGUCUAUGGUGUUUCCCCGCUCUCGACCCAAGAUAGCUGGGAUAGACUCCAGCACUCCAGCGACCCCAGUAGGGUUAUAAAGAAUAGAUGGUUCUUUGCAGCCCAGAGUUCAUCAGGAUGUGAUUAUCGGCAGAGUAAAUGAAGUUUUGAUGGCUCGAGCAGGUGUCCUAACCAGCCAGACACUGCAUUGUUGGCUCAACCAAUGGCGUGAGUUUGGGGCGGGGCUAUCUGUUUGUUGAAGCAUGGCAGACAGGGAGGUCUGCUAGGUACCAGAGAGAAGAAACAUCAGUGUUUAUGAGGAUGGAGAAGAUUUCACCGAACACGAGAGAGACUCUUUUCAGAGAGGACAGGAAGCAAAGUGGAUGAGAGAGAGGGGGUAGGGUCGGGAAAGGACCACGAGCUCGGGUCGCCCAGGACGCACCUGCGCC